UCGGAUGACGUGCAAGGGGUGGGGGUAAUGGGUAGGGUGGGCGGGUUAAACGGAAGGACGGAGGGUAAAGUUGGAGGAGGCGACCGUGCAAUGCGAGGGUGAAAUCCCCGGGGUUAACGUGGGAAGUGAGCUGGAAAGUACGUGGCGUGAGUGGGGCAGAGGAAGGUGGAAUUCCACGUGUAGCGGUGAAAUGCGUAGAGAUGUGGAGGAACACCAAUGGCGAAGGCAGCCUUCUGGGCCAACACUGACGCUCAUGCACGAAAGCGUGGGGAGCAAACAGGAUUAGAUACCCGUGUAGUC
RNAcentral lists this ribosomal RNA (300 nucleotides) under uncultured Acidiplasma sp. RNAcentral describes it as "bacterial SSU rRNA". The stretch from base 65 to 300 matches the Rfam family "Bacterial small subunit ribosomal RNA", at positions 560 to 795 of the family's 1533-position model. The record is from RNAcentral. Lineage: Archaea; Methanobacteriati; Thermoplasmatota; Thermoplasmata; Thermoplasmatales; Ferroplasmaceae.